This 200-nucleotide long non-coding RNA is filed under the name Carica papaya (papaya). RNAcentral describes it as "long non-coding RNA (CPAP_LNC012870)". Lineage: Eukaryota; Viridiplantae; Streptophyta; Magnoliopsida; Brassicales; Caricaceae. The record is from RNAcentral.
AAUUAAUUUGUAUGUGUGAUGAUACUUUCGGAAAGUUAAAAAUUUCAUUCACCUAAGCUAGAAGAACUAUCUCAACCAAAACUUAAUGGAGGUCUUAGCAUUAGGAGGUUAAGGGAAUUCACCUCUGCUUUAAUUGUCAAGCUCUCCAAGUACAUGGUGAGAGAUAAGCCUUAGGUCUCCCUCUUGCAAGCUAAGUAUUU